GUCUGUGGUCAUACCACCCUGAACACACCCGAUCUCACCUGAUCUCCGAAGCCACACGGGUCGGGCCUGGUUAGUUCUUGGAUAAGUCUUGACUUUACUUUUGUACGUGGUGUAAGUUAGGGGUCCAGUUU
RNAcentral lists this ribosomal RNA (131 nucleotides) under Castor canadensis (American beaver). The record is from RNAcentral. Lineage: Eukaryota; Metazoa; Chordata; Mammalia; Rodentia; Castoridae.